RNAcentral lists this small RNA (810 nucleotides) under Homo sapiens (human). Its description in RNAcentral is "POU domain transcription factor OCT4". The record is from RNAcentral. Lineage: Eukaryota; Metazoa; Chordata; Mammalia; Primates; Hominidae.
GACCUGAGCGAGAAGCACGAUCCCCGGCCGCCCCCGCUCUUGCAUCCCCCUGGUCCUACUGCUGUGCUUGCUGGCGACGGUUCGUUCCGGAAGUCAGUCCCAGGACAUCAAAGCUCUGCAGAAAGAACUCGAGCAAUUUGCCAAGCUCCUGAAGCAGAAGAGGAUCACCCUGGGAUAUACACAGGCCGAUGUGGGGCUCACCCUGGGGGUUCUAUUUGGGAAGGUAUUCAGCCAAACGACCAUCUGCCGCUUUGAGGCUCUGCAGCUUAGCUUCAAGAACAUGUGUAAGCUGCGGCCCUUGCUGCAGAAGUGGGUGGAGGAAGCUGACAACAAUGAAAAUCUUCAGGAGAUAUGCAAAGCAGAAACCCUCGUGCAGGCCCGAAAGAGAAAGCGAACCAGUAUCGAGAACCGAGUGAGAGGCAACCUGGAGAAUUUGUUCCUGCAGUGCCCGAAACCCACACUGCAGCAGAUCAGCCACAUCGCCCAGCAGCUUGGGCUCGAGAAGGAUGUGGUCCGAGUGUGGUUCUGUAACCGGCGCCAGAAGGGCAAGCGAUCAAGCAGCGACUAUGCACAACGAGAGGAUUUUGAGGCUGCUGGGUCUCCUUUCUCAGGGGGACCAGUGUCCUUUCCUCUGGCCCCAGGGCCCCAUUUUGGUACCCCAGGCUAUGGGAGCCCUCACUUCACUGCACUGUACUCCUCGGUCCCUUUCCCUGAGGGGGAAGCCUUUCCCCCUGUCUCCGUCACCACUCUGGGCUCUCCCAUGCAUUCAAACUGAGGUGCCUGCCCUUCUAGGAAUGGGGGACAGGGGGA